AAACCUUUUCAAAAGACAACUGCUACAUGUUGAGUUUACACAGCAGUCGCCAUCGCAAUGUACAUCAAGUUCACAUGAUAACCCCAAACAUCUCUCACGACAGAUUACAUCACCCGCAGGUAUGGUACAACACCUUAAUUCACAGUUCUGACCAGAUUUACGUUCUUUUGCACUGGUCAGUAACACGAAACUGGGUAAAACAAUCAACAAUUUGAACAACAUGACUCUAAAAAGGUUUCACCACAAAUGAUUGACCAUUCAGCGAGUGCGUGGUUAUAUUUAUCAAUUUCAAUUUCAAUUUCAAUUUCGAUUUCAAUUUCAAUU
Paramuricea clavata is the source of this 324-nucleotide non-coding RNA. The record is from the annotation of a GenBank genome assembly. NCBI's taxonomy places the organism in Eukaryota, Metazoa, Cnidaria, Anthozoa, Malacalcyonacea, Plexauridae.